CCUCACCGCCAAGGUCUACUUCCCGGCGUCCGACGCAUCGACUACUUCCGCUUCAACACGAAGACGACGACAUGGAUCCGAUGACCCCGGCUUCGACUACUUCCUCGACGUCGGCGACUCCCGCCGCUUCCACUCCGCCCCGGCGACCACUUUUGUUCCGGUAUGAAGUUAUGUUCGAUGAAGACGACGUUAGCGAGGUUACCCUUCCGGCUUGGCCUGGGCAGGGUUAUGGACGCCACUGGUUAUCUUCAGGACUCUUAGUCCAAUUUGUAUCUUGUCCGUACUCGGACGUAUUCGAUCUUCUGUACGAUUUGGAUCUUUGUAUUGUAUAUUUGUAUCUUGACUCGUUGGAGUCGUUGUUGUAAUAUAUGUUUCUUGUGGGCU
Molecule: non-coding RNA, 384 nt
Organism: Lolium perenne
Lineage: Eukaryota; Viridiplantae; Streptophyta; Magnoliopsida; Poales; Poaceae
Source: RefSeq, a predicted model, not a curated record